Molecule: long non-coding RNA, 33900 nt
Filed under: Vigna radiata
Lineage: Eukaryota; Viridiplantae; Streptophyta; Magnoliopsida; Fabales; Fabaceae
Description: long non-coding RNA (VRAD_LNC005693)
Source: RNAcentral
AGGCCCAAACCUUUCGGAUCUUUUGAACAGUUUUUUCGCAAAUUUUGACGCCGAAACUAACAUUAGGGUUUACAGCACAAGUAUAUAUACAUAUAAAGCUGUGACCACACGAUCCCAACCAUCUAUGUCUGAUGGCACUGGCACGUUUUGUUGAAUUUGUGAGGUGAGUUUUGUUUUUCUUCUUCUUCCCUGUUCUCUCUGAUCCAAAAAUGGUGAAGGCUCUAUAUUAAGAGUCAACAGCAGGAGCUUGUUCUAUAGUUACCUGACUGCCGCUUAGAGCCAAGAUGAAAACACCAGUUGAAGAUCCUUGAAACAUAUCUCCUUUGUUUCAAGACACAAUUUCUGGUCAAAUUUUGUUUUUUUGUUUUCGUCAAUUGUUGUUGAUGGCACUUCAGUCAGACACGGGUGUUUGUUGCUGAAUCUAAAAACAAACAACCUUUUGCAUGGUGCCUAUAUAUAAUCGGCUAUUGAUUCACGAUUGGGGGAACUUUUCAUCUCUGGUUCCUUCAAAUUUCAAGCAGCUACAUCUUCUUCAAUGAAUAAACUUUUAUAAACCUAAAACUGUACAUUUUGCUCAUCAAAAUGUAUUUGAGAGGCACAUUAGAAACUAGUAGAGAUUAUUCAGCAAGAUUUCAGAAACAAAAUGAAACCUGGAAAAAGAAAGUAAAAAAAAAAAUGAAAGUUUUAGAAUUAAAUUUGAAGUCUUUGAACCUCUCAUAGCAACUGCUACUAUCUCAAAUUCAUCAGUCACAACUGAAAACUGUAUGAGAUUAGCAUGUUUAGUAUCAGCAAAACACUUUAAAUUGUAUGACAUUACAAUGUUUCAGUAUCAGCAAAACACUUUAAACUGCACGACAUUACCAUGUCUCUAGUAUCAUCAGCCAAACACUUUGAAACAGAGUGAAAUCAAUUUCAGAAUCACUUAAGUCAGCAUCAAAAUCCAUUUCGUAGUACUACAUCAUCAAAACAUAGUUAGCAACUUUUCUGAUAUUCUUCAUACUACAUCAGUUUCAGGUUUAGUUUUAAAAUCAAAAUUCAAUUUAUCAGUAGUACUAUUAAUACUGACCUCACCAUCAGAAUUCACAGGUCUAAUUAUUAGAAUCAUGAAUAACAGCCAACUUCCUAAAACCAACCAUUAGCUUUUCAAAAUCAUCAGUAUAGAUAUAAUACACAUCCAACAAAAUCAAGUGAUGCAUCAGCAACUUUCUCGGUCAAACGUUGCAACCUCUUUUGUUGAAUUUUGAUUUAAACGUUACAACCUUCUUUGUGAACGUUGGAAGAUUACCAACGUAUGCCUCCUUUUUUGUUACUUUCUUGAGAGGGUUAGUUCCAUCACAGGGUCUAUAAAUAGACCUUCAUUUGCUCUUCGUUUCAUUUUGGAAGAUUACACAACAUUUUCUCUUUUUUGUCCUCUCCUCUUAGUUUCAUUAUUUUUUCUUUUUCUUUUCUAAUAAUAUUUUAGAUUUAUUUAAAAUUUCUUACUAGUUCUGGUAUUCUACAUUUCUGGAAAAUUCUGGUUGAAUAGUGGAAGGUCUAUUUAUCUUUUGAAAAAUCUUUGUUGCUAUUUUUUAUUAUCUUUUGUCAACUUUUUUAAGUCAAUUUUAAGAAUCAAUAACUUAUAUCGACCAAUGAGAAUAUUGUUUUUGAAACUCAUACGGUGUUUUCGAAACAUUUUUUAGAUGAAGUCUUAUCUAAUCAUAAUUUCUAGCAUCAUAUAAUUUGUAAUGGUUGAAUAAUGUCUAUUUUAGUGCUUUAGCACUAAUUCUUUGCCUUUCCUUGGGAAUGCAGGUCAGUUGCAAUAUCAUGAUCGUUUUCUUAUCGAAACAGAAAAGGUCUAAUUUGUAAAGCUAGGUUGAUGGAUGAAGCCAAGAGGGUUUAUGAGGAGCUAUCAACUUUUGGUAUAGCUCUGAUCUUGUAUGUCAUCGUACCCUGCUGAAAUGUGGAAAGAAUGAAUGAACUAUUUUGAAAGCAUAAGUGAGUCAACAAAAGGCGAAAGCUUCAUCAUGAGUAAAGCUGUGCAUUCUUACAAAUCUGCCGAAAAGCAAUGUAAAGCCAAAGCUAAGGAAUUUUAAUGAACAAUGGAAUCCCAUUCUUUAAGAAACUUGAGGUUGUAUUAGGAGAGUGAAAACUCCAUGAGAUACUUGUGUAUGUGAGAAGAAUUAUGACAGUGGAACAAACUAAUCAACUUGGCAAUGGUCAUGGUGGAUGUUGCAUGUAUGCUGUGGGUGACAUGAUGAUUGGGCUCGUGGCUCAGAAGCACAUUUGUGAGGGGGACGUGAUUCACGUUUUACUUUUUGGAAAUAGUCAUAAUAUGGAGAAUUAUGUUAUAAUAGAAUCUGUGUUGGUUCGAAUCUCUAUAAUUAGGAUGUUCAAAAUUCAUUCAACUGCACUAAACUAUCAAAUAAAUGUAUUAUAUUAUACCACAAAUUUGGAAUUGUUUAGAUUUAAAACUAAACUCUACCUUCAGUUUUAAAAAAUUGAACUCGACUUUUAGUUUUAAAAAAUUGAACUUCUAAAAUUAGGUUUAGUUAAUUAUUUAUUAAUUUAAAAAUAGUUAAUUUUAUAUUUUUUACUUGUUUCAAUAUAAUUUAACUUUGGUUGACAGGAUUUAAUUGAUUUUUAUUCGGAGUCAACUUAUUCGAACUGAAUUUGAUCAGAAUCGAUCAUGUACGUCCUAGUUGAAUUUGAUCGAAUUUCGAUCAAAGUUGUCUCGACAUUUUGUCAAACCUAGUUAUAUUCAACCUUUGGUUUAACUCGAUUCAUCUCAACUUUAAUCCAAUCCAUUCUGUCUUGACUUUUGUCUAUGUCAACUCAUCGGCUUGUUUCGACCUUGGAUUCAACAUGAUUUAUAUUGACAUUUGACCUGACUUAGUCGAAUCCGUCUCGAACUUGAGUUAAGCCAGUUGAUCUCAACUUUUGUUCUGACCAACCUAUCUCAACUUUUAGUAUAUUAUGGCCUCAAAGUUGUGUUAUAUGUGAAAGUAGAAAACAAAAAAUAGUUUCAGUUUGUUUGAACUAAUUUUGAGUUAAUUUAGUUUAGACAAUAAACUUUUUUUAUUCACUGUAGUUUAUAGUAGUGUAUAUAAGUGCAAUUAAUUUUGUCCUCCUCUAUUCUUAACCUUGUGUAAGGAGUUAUAGAUUGAAUUUAGCUUGUCAAAUUGGUCUGGUUUGACUGUCUGUGUAUUGGAAACUAAAAUCUCACCUUUUUGUCUCGUUUUGGUUCAUUUUUGCUGUUGUAUAUGAAGUGCUUCAUGCUACUUUGGGCAAAUGCUGUUCGUUAGUUACAAAUAAGCAUAUAUAGUUUACCCUUCUAAUCCAUUUAUUCUGGUUUAAAUUAUGAAUUUGUUCAGUCAUAGUGCGAAAGCCAAAAGGGUGAGGAAAAUGAAGAUCAUUUAUGGACUGUGUUUCAUUGAAAUACAUCACUUUCAAAAGCUGCAUAAUCUCUCUCAAAAUUCAUCUGGGGUUUGAUUCUACUGCUAAAAAUGGGGAUUCACAUUGAGGAAUCCAACCGUCUUUCCAAAGUUCAAAUGUCGUUAUGAUUGAGAUGAAGAAUCUAGAAAUAUACUUCUGCAUACUGUACUGUUGUAAUUUUUCUUGUACGAUAUCUGUUUGAUAUAUGAAUGUAUCUGAUAUUAUUUGUAUAUUAUCCCUAUCAUUGGCACAAUAUAUUUGUUUUAUUUAUGGAAAAUGAUAUUUUAACACUCUUUUUUUACACCAUUUUGACACUGCACACGUGUCAAAAUGUGAUUGGACGAUUUCAAAUUAAAAAAACAAACUUUGGUCUUUCUCUUUCAAACAUACCCUUGCCUCAACUUUUUUAAUUUGAAAUCGUUCAAUCACAUUUUAAUACGUUUGCAGUGUCAAAAUGGUGUCAAAAAAUAGUGUUAAAAUAUCAUUUUACUUUAUUUAUAUCACACUUAUCAGUUGGGCUUAUCGAAUGAUAAGAUAAGAGAAGUUUGUCCUUUCACGCAAUUCAAAGUUCUUCACCUGAAAAGGAUCACUUCUUACAAUGAUGCAGAUGAAGCAAGUUGUGCAACUUGCUGAUACGUGUUCUUUUUUUAAAUAAAAGCAACUUGUGUCACUUGCUUGAUACAUGGCCAACUUUUAAAAGAAUAACCGAUUCAGCACAAUGAUAGGGAAUUUGUAAUUUUAUAUUAAGUUUUUAAUAUAAGAUGAUAAGAGAGAAAUUGUUAAGAAAAAUAUAAUAUUUGACUCAUGCCUAUUAGGAGAUUAAGAUUCUCAAUAUUACAUGAAGUGGUGAUCUAAUCUCUUUAGCCCUUAAUAUUUUAUUACAUGCACAAGAUCAUUGUACUCUGAUAUUUUCCUUUAGUUGAUAUUUUUAUAUAUUAAUUUUUUUUCUUUUUCUAUUAAGACGGCACUGUUAACUUUUGUUUUAUUUUACUAGAUUAAAUAUAUUUUUUAUCUUUUAAUUUUAGUUAAAAUUAAAAUUAGUCUCUCAAUUUUAAAAAUGUAUGAAUUUAGUCAUUUUAACCAAUUUUGGUUGAAUUUAUUUGAUGUUUCAGAUAGUUCCUUAGUUAAUAUUGAAAUAAAGAUUUGUCAAACAAGAUAAACAACUCAAAUACUAUCAUGAAACACACUUAAACCAUCAAAUAAAUUAACAAAAUUUAAUUAAAAAAACUAAAUUCAUACAUUUCUAGAAUUAAAAUAUUAAAUUAGAUCAAAAUUUUAAAAAUAAAGUAAUUCUAAUUUUUAAACAAAGACAUGUUUAACAUGAGGAUCUUUCUAAUGUCAACUUACCUUCUCAAAUAAAUUAUAUGAGGUUUAGAGUGUUUGGCUUUACGACAGAAAGUAAUAAAAUAUUUUAUUUUAUAUUUAUUAAAGGUUAGAUAUUUGUUGAUAAAUGAAGAUAUUUUUCUGGCUGUGCAUUUGUCAACUAAUAAAAAAAAUUAAUUAGGUUGGAAAAUGUAUAAAAAGUUUAAAAUGAAAAGUCACUCCCUUUUGAGCAUUGGUUUAGAAUAUUAAAUCUAAAAAUUACCCCUUAAAGCGAGUACUGGGAAAUUGAAUAAGUAAUCGUUAAGAGAAAGUCAAUGGUUGUAGUUAAAAAUGCUUCAGCUUUCAGGAAUGCUAUACAAGCCACCAUGGAUAUUUAUAUAUUGUACUAUUAUCAAAGAUAUUUCAUAUAUAUAGGUGCAGUGAUUUCACUGCAUUGAUAAAGUUGAAGGAUUAGUGAAAUGGGUAUCUGCAUAUCAGUUCCAGAAAAAGAUGAUGAUGAUGAGAAUGUGACAAUAUUUGAAGAAAGGAAGAAGGUCCUGAAUGGGAGUCAGAGACUCUUCUCUGUUUACUCCAAACAGGGUACCAAAGGACUCAACCAAGAUGCUGCCUCUAUUCACCAGGUUUUUUCUGCAGUUUCAUUGUUCAAACAUCAAACAAACCACAGAAUUUCAUGUUUUUCUUUUCCAAUUUCUUAGGAAUUUAUGAAUCUCAAAGAUAUAAGUUAACAAACCAUGAGAUUUUAAAAUGGUUUUAGAAAUCAAGCCAAGUGAUAAUCCUUAAAAAGCCAAUCUACCUUUUCAGUGUCUGUUUUUAUAAGUUUGAUGUCUGCAUUUAAAACAGUUUUACAAUCUAUGAAUAGAAAAAUCAUGAUUUUUUAAAUGACUAAAACAAAAGAUCAACAGAUGUAUUGUACAUGAUCAUGUGGUUGGUUAUGAACUGUUUUCUCUUGCUUUGUCAGUCUGAUUAAGAUUUGUUGAGUACAUAAUCAUUUUCAUGUGCAUUUUCCUAAAAAAAAAGGGUUAUGGAACGGAAGAUGGAACAUUUUGUGGUGUUUAUGAUGGUCAUGGAGGGAAUGGACACAGAGUGAGUAAAAUAGUAAGCAGUCAAUUAUCUUCCCUCAUUCUGGAACAAAAGAAUGUUCUUGAAAAGAUUGAUGCUAUAGAAAAUGGUUGUCACAACACCACCCCAAAAAACCAUGUUGGCACAAUGAAAGAAAACUCAGAUGCAAACAACUUUCAGAAAUGGAAAGAAGCAAUUGUUAGUGCCUUCAAGGUGAUGGAGAAAGAGGUCAAGCUUCAGCAUAAUCUAGAUUGCUCUGGCAGCGGAACCACUGCUGUAGUUAUCAUAAAACAGGUAAAAGAAUUGCCGGAAACUCAUCUUCUUUUGAACUCAUUAGUAAAAAUCACAAAGUUUUAAUAAACUAAUGAUAUUUUAUUUAGUUUCUAUUAUAAUUUUUAAUAAGUUUUAGGAGAAAUGACCAAUUAGGAAACAUGAAACAAAAUCACUACACCUCCUUAAUAAACUUCCUAUUAAUUUUCAUGGUUAUUGUGAAAAGAACAUGAUGAAUAACAAUACACAGGGUGAAGGUCUUGUCAUAGCAAAUCUGGGUGAUUCGAGAGCAGUGAUGGGAACAAUAUGUGAAGAAAAACUCGUAGCUACCCAAUUGACCACGGAUUUGAAGCCCGAAUUACCUCGUAAGAUUCUUCUUCUGGGACACCAUUUUUCUUGAGGUCUAAACCUGAAAUGCUUGUACUUAAUAUCACUUGAUGGCAACACAGUGUUUGAGAUGGACAAAUCCACAUCAAAGUUUAAAGAUUAAAAAUAUUUUAACCUUUUAGAAUAAUAUACUGGCAGAAACUUCUGGUUUAUAUAAAUAACAAUGCAUGGAAGCUUUAAGAAGUGAAUUAAAGUUGUUUGCAUGCAAAACUAUUAAAACCAAGUAAAUUUAUUUGGAACCAAAUUGGAAUGCAGGAGAAGCAGAAAGAAUAAGAAGGUGCAAUGGUUGUGUGUAUGCAUCAAAGGAAGAACCAGAAAUCCAGAGAGUGUGGAUGCCCAACAAUGAACACUCCCCUGGCCUAGCCAUGUCUCGAUCUUUUGGAGAUUUCUUGCUCAAGGAUUAUGGUGUUAUUGCUAUCCCAGAUAUUUCUCACCACCCUUUAGCAUCAAGUGAUCAAUUUAUUGUUCUUGCUAGUGAUGGGGUAGGUGAUAUUUGCAGAAAAGAGUGUUAUGUCUGCAUGCAAGAUUCAAAACAAAAAGAAACAGUUAGCAGCACACUAUUUAUCAGAGUAAAUCAUAUUAACUAUUUUAUAAAAUUAAGUAAACUCUUUUUUUGGUACAUUUUUCAUUUAUAUUUGGCUUUAAACACGUAAUUUACUAUAUCUGAAGUUUAUCUCUUAAAUAAACUGUUGUACAGUUUGUCAUAUUAGUUAGAUUUUCGAAGAGAUUGUAUGUUCAAAAAUAUUUUACUAACAUUUUAAAAAGGUUGUCUAAUACAUAUUAUAAUGCACACAUUUCUGUUGUGUUUAUCUCUUUCCAUUACAUCAUUUAUUACAUUUUAACUUUUUCUUUGUUCCUAGUAUAAAUUGUUAUACAACUUGGGUUAUGUAACAUUUCUUAUUAGAACUUGUUCCCUGUUAUUGUGUAUGGAAUUAGCUAGUGGAGUGCAUUUUUGCCCAAGCAUUCUAUAAAGAACUUUUUUUUUUCUUGCUUAUAGGUGUGGGAUGUACUGAGUAACGAUGAGGUUGCAUCAAUUGUGUGGAGUGCAGAGAGUGAAGAGGUUGCAGCAAGAGCAGUAGUGGAAGCAGCCACUGCUGCAUGGAAAAACAAGUUUCCUUCAUAUAUGGCAGAUGACUGCACUGUGGUUUGUCUCUUCUUGCACCAGAAACCACAACUUCAGCCCUUUAAAAACUAACCUUCGUUAGUUAGUGCUCCUUCACUAAUAUUCUAGACACCAUUUCCUCAAAUCAUGCUUUGUGAAAAGUCCACAAUGAUGUUCAUUGAAAACUAGAUGUUGUUAGCAGGGCCAAGAAACUGAGAAAGAGGUAUUGCUUCAAUCACUGAUAGAUAUUGCAUGUAUUUCAGCGAGCGUUUUGUAGAGUUAAUUUUAAAUAAAAUUGAUAUUCUUAAAAUUAAAUAAUGUAAUGCUUUUAGAUGUUUUAUUUUAAAAGAAAAUAGUGAUAAUAUACAAUUUAUAGCCAAACAAAAAAGUUUGCUUUAAAAUUAAUUUAAAUAAUUUAUUCUAGAUCCAUACACUCAUAUAAUACCGAUUAGUCACUUACUGUACAAAUUUAUCGAAUAUAAUACCGACUAAUUCAUAAGUGAAGGAUCAAUAUGUAGUGUAUUUGUCCAAGACUAGAAACUCUUCACAAUAGUUCUCAUUCAUUUCAAGUGCAUCAUAAAAAAUCUUAUGCUAUAUAGUAAAUACCCUCUCUUCUCAACACAAGAAAAAAUCCUUCCCAGUAAAAUCCAAAUGCAAAAUACUGCCCCAUCUGUGUGAACUUGUUUCACAGACCAAAAUCGGGUAGAAAGGCAAAAAGAGAGCAGUAAUGGGUGAGAAUGAGAAAGAGAUGUAAAUUUUGAUAAAGGGUUGAAAAAAGAGUCACAGUAUGAAGGCCCCUUUUCAUCCCGAAUCAGGUUGGGUUGUUAUCCGUGCUUAGUUCGAGCAAGUCAUCAUCAUAAGAAACAGGUAUCCUUACUCUGUCAUGAACAGAGCUACGUUUCGCUUCUCCUGAUGGUUCAGGUUGAUUUUGCCUUUGUAAUGCAGAAAAGGGUUUCUCAGAAACAUUGCCCUGAGGCCUGCUACCAAAUGUAGAUGCCUCCUCCCCUAAAGAAGAAUUCUCUUUCCUUUGCAGAGGUGGCCUGUUAACAUUUGGCUGCCUGAACUGCUUCUGCAUUGUUAUAAACAAUGACGAGAAACUAGAUAUUAGAGAGCAAAUUAUGACAUGAUGAAUAAUCUUGGUUCUGACACAAAUUCAUAAGACUUGUUUAAAAGAAAACAGCACAACUCUGACACUAACCGGGCUGCUUCUUCCUGUCCUAGAUAAUAGGAACAUGCAAAACAAACUUAUUUUCAUUCAAUACAAACACAAAUAUGUAAAGUGUUUUGACACAAAACAUAAAGGUCAAUCACAUACCUCAAACUCCUUUGCUUUUUUCAUGAUCUCUUUGUAAGCAUUUGGUUCUCGAACCUUAAUUAUGUUCCACAAUACCCCACCCCUUGUCCGAAAUCGGCUACCAUCAACAGUCUUCUGACCUCCACAGGACUGUAUAGCAUCCACCUGUGAUUUUCACAUUUGUUUAUACGAGUUUACAAGAUGUGUAUCAUAUUGAACAAAUCAGAAAAGAACACCAAAAACAAUCUCAAAUUCAUUAAAUCCUAAUGAAACAGUAGAAACAAAUAUGUUCAUAGGCCAAAGUAUUCCAAAUUUAAGCAAAAAUGCCCUCAAUGAUUGAUCCUGCAAAUGCAGAUAUCCUGGAGAGCUGAAACGAGUUAUAUGCUCAGUUAAAUACAACCUUCAGUCUAGUGUGUUUCACCUACAUUUUGCUAAUCUAUCUAACUAAAUCCUGACCCUCCUGGUCUUAAGGAAAAUGCUUGAUGGUACUAGCAUGUUUAAACCAAAAUAUUAUUUUUUAUUCACCAAUUUUUCCCUAAUAUUUGAGCCAUUCAGCUAUAUAGAAGAAACUAUACAGAGAAUUCUACAACUAUUUUGUGAAACAAAGAUUCAGGCCAUAUGAAAUUUAUAUAGCCCUCAAUAAAGUAACAUUAUGCGUAUUUAGAGAGAUCCAAUUUUGGCUGACUUUGUUGGCUGCUCCAUUUAGGAGAGCAAGAUGACGAGAAGCAAUAAAUAUCGACCUUCAAAAGAAUCAAAUAAUUGAAGUGGUUCAUCAGCCAGGAACAUCAAAAGCUCAGGCAGAGGUUUGAAAUGAUCUCUGAUAAAAUCUGCAAUGUUAGAUACAGCGUUGUACACAUCAGACAUUAUGAAUGGUUGUAUGGCGCUAUGAAGAAUGGAUAUAUUCAGCUAACAACAGGCAAAUAAAACUACAACUCUGAUCAAGGGAAAAUAUUAAAAAAAAAACUAUUUUAAAAACAUUGUUAUGCACAUUCAUGCAAGAGAUGAAACAAAGAGAGAAGCCAAGAAUAGGAAUAUCUUAUGAUGCACAAAUGCGAUAUCAGAUAACUCCAGUAUUCGAUACAGCGAUCCAAUCAUUCUAAAAUUAAUAGGAUACACAACUAAAAAUGCAUAAGUGCAGUCAUGCAAAUCUAAAUUACAUGCAUAAAUUUUGGAAAUGCUAUAAUAAUAAUAAAAAUUAUAAAUAAUUUUCGUCAUAAAUUAAUCUCUACUAUUUACAUACAAGAAUAGUGCUAUUGAUCAUAUUUGUAUCUUCAAACCAUUCAUAAAGGAACAACUUUCACAUUUGAUUUAUCAAGGGACAACCUUCCUAUAUUACAUAAAUAUGCUUCAUGUAGUUGUAUUGGAUUACAUAAAAUGCUUUAAAGAUUUAACACUUUACAGUUACAUAUUGAUUAAAAGCAUAGCGAUAUAAGAUGGGUGAAGCAAAUAGAAGUAUUAUAGAUACUUUAUUGACACAAACUGGUGCAGUAUUCAAGAAUAUUGGAUAUGUGAAACUAUUUGAAUUGUUCUUACACUUGCAUUUCUUUUAAAAUGUAUUCAUAUAAUUCAAACCACCAUAUCCAUAAUCCAAUUAUUACGAGCAACAAACACAACUAAAAGAACAGAAAGUGUUUAGUCGAACAAUUCAGAAGUAAGUCCAGACACGUAGUAAGUCAAGAUCCAUAGUAAGUCAAGAAACGUAAGUAAGGGGAACUCAGCACAUUCAAGCACCAACCGAAAUUUCAUUAGAUGUUCUUAAAUUGUUUUCCAACCUCUAAACGACCAUGAUAUUUCACUCAAAUGAAUAGAUUAACAGACACAGAAAAAGACCUUUCAACAUGAAAGCAACAUUUCAGUGAGGGUUCCAAUACCUCACUGAUGAGAUCACUCAAUGAAGAAACUCCAAGGCAAGCAACAGCUGUAUAUACCAUGUAUGACUUUUUCUCUUUCAGCCGCCGACAUACAUCUAUCACAAACCUGAUAGAAGAAAUAAAUUUAUCAGAAACUGAAAAAUUCAUCAGUAAAUAAUUUAGGAUAAGGAUUAAGGAUUGGUGAGCAGUGGUACAACGAUGAGGAAGCUGUCUUGUUACCAGACAUCACAUAUUAAUAGUUUAAAACCCGAAAAAAACCUCACAACUUGCAAGGUUCCUGUCUUUUCCCAUUAGUUGGGAGACUGCUGUACUGGACCAGUCAUUAGAUUAAGUCAAGCUGUACACAUGCUACAGAUUCUACUGAGUGGGUUGGUAUUUGUAUUUGGUACGUCUUGUGCUCAUAGAUACUCCUAAAGACUAAAGUCAAAUGCUAAAAGUUUGGCCAACUUGAUUCCUAAAAGGAUAACUAGAACUUGAAAACCAAAGGAAUGAUGGGAAGUGUAUGGUGAUGCUGUGUCCUAACUUCAAACUAUAGUACUGAAAUUACUUUCACAACCACAUUCUUUUUCUAAGAAUUCAAUUAAUUAUGUUAUAAAUUGUGGUGCUUAUUUGAAAAAACCAUCUAAUAUCAAAGGAAUGAUGGGAUAUGUCGGGUGCUGCAUAACUUCAAUCUACUGUGUUGACAUUAUUUUCACAGACUUAAUUACGUAAUAGGUUGUAGUGCUUAUUUGAAAAAUCCACUAUCAUUAUCUAUUAUCAUCAAUACAAUUUGGUCAUAUAAUCUUCCUAUUAAAAUUCUUUUUUAUUGUAUUACAAGUAGAACUAUUAUUACCAUCAUAACUUUCUUUUUCUAUUUGAGUAUUUAACACAAUUAUAUAAUCAGACUUAUAUUCAAUAUCCAACAUCACUAAUUGAGUUAGAAAACAAUCAAGUACAGACAGGUCGCAAUCAUACAAACAGACCCUUACAAAAUGAAAAGAAAUAAACAAUUUUGGUUACGAAACUCGAAAGCUUUUCCCUCAAUUCACAAAAAAUACUACUGUAAUUCUUGUUCAAAUAAAACUAAUUUUUCGAAAUCCACUUGCAAAACAUCAUUUUCAAGCACAUAGAACAUCAUUUUCACCAGAAAAAAUGUCAGGUAAAUGAAGUGGUGUCGUGAACGUAAAGUAGACACCUUUUUCUCAUACUCUCUGUCAACAGCAAAAACAAAAACGAAAACCCAUGAAAAGAAACAAGAGGGUAACAAUUAUAACCUGUUAAUAUCAACGGCACCGUUUAUUCCUGAACCUUUUCUUCUGUUUCUCUUGUUUUUACGCCUUCGGUUCUUACUCUGCGGUUUCGUGUUAUCAGCUUCCACGACACCGUUUUGUCCAGAAACAUUUCGUGAAUCAUCUUGUUCCUGUUUCUGCUCCUGCUCCACUAAUUCCCCUUCUUCAACGUCGACCAUUUCAACAUCGUUCAAAAUUUCCUCUUCGAAAAUCGCAUCCAGAAUGUUCUCUCCAUUCUCCAUUUCAAAACACUCAAGACAACUCCACUAAUCGAAAACCUCAACGGAUCAAAUGAAAAGUUUCUCAGUUUAUAUAUUUCACUGCUUCAGUUUCAUCACGCUCCGUUUAAUAUCGCCGACUUAACUUAAACUCCAAAUUUAGGGUAAUUAAUUACGAGUGCCGCAUAAUGCUUGGCGUUAAUUAUAUUUGCUAUGUUAUAUAAACUUUAAAAAACGGAAUAUAGGAGGAAAAACUUAGCGUUUAAAUUUGAUUUUUAUACAUGGUUUGGUUAGUGCGAAAUUUUUCUACAUAAAAUUUGGUUGAAUUGUACUAUCUACUUAAAUGCUGAUGAAUUAUGAAAUUUAAUUCAUAUUUUUAAGUUUUAAUAAAAACAAUAUUUAUUUUGGUUUCAAAUAUAGUUUAGAUGGUAUUUUUAAUAAUAUAAUGUAAUGAUUUAGAUAGUGUUAAUUAUUAAAAUAAAACAAAAUUUAAUAAUUUAGAGAUCAUAUUAUAUUUAAGCUUUCAUUAUGUUAGCAUGUUACAUUAUAAGGUGUGAUGAUAUAUCCAAUUCUUGCUUCUAUAUGAAAGUUACUAUAUAUACACAAACUCAAUUCUUAGAAUACAUACUAAUAAUUUAAACAUGGCUUGUGGCUUGUGAUAUAAAUACAAAAGAGCUAUAAACUUUUUGUAAUAGUUAAUUUCAAAUAUGCAUUUAAAAUUGUUUUUUAGUUGUGAGUUAAAUUCUAAAAAAUAUAUAUUUAAUUAUUAAAAUAUGUUUUUGAAGCCUGAAUAAAAAAAAAACGUAUAUAUAUAUAUAUAUAUAUAUAUAUAUAUAUAUAUAUAUAUAUAUUCAAAUAAAUGUAAAAAUAUUUGCUUUCUUUAAUAAUGGUUUAGGAUUUAAUUAAGAUUUUUCUUUUAGUGAAAUUACUUUAAAUGUAUAACACAUUAUAUUAAGAAGAAAAUACAGUCAUUUGAAUUUGGGGUGAGUUGGAAUCAAUUUAAUGAUAGAUUUCUUAUAUAUCUUAAUUUUUUAAUGAAAUUCAUUAAAAAAAUCACUAUUGUUUUCCUAUAUAAAUAAGUUGUUGAUGAAAUAAACUCUUCACAUAGAUUCUUUUGUCCAAACAUCUCAUUGUUGUCUUCAAAUAGACAAGAUGAAGAAUAGUCAAUUAUGUCAAUUAUGGCUUCAACUCUUAUUGUUCACACAUUGCAUAAGGUGGAGAUUUUUUUUGGAUAAGGAUCAAAUGGGGUUUGAAGAAAGGAUUCUAUUUGGCAGAAUUUUUAUGGUAGGUGAUGGACUCAUAGUUGCAAGUGGAUUUUUGUCUCCUACACAUACCUAUAUGUUGCUACUUACCACCAUUCUUGUCCACUUCCUCCAAUACAAAUAAAAAGUAUGAUGAAUGACAUCUUUUACUAUUUGAAAAAUUUUGUUGAUAUUUUAAAAUGUAAUCAUUUAGAUGAAUUUUAAAAAGGGUUUAUAUAUAGAGUCUUAAUCAUGAAAGAAUUUUAAAAAAUAAUCUUCUAGAAAAAUGACAACCAUGUAUUUAGUGAAAGUAAUGUUUUAAAAUAUUGGAAAAGAGAGAUUUUCACGCAAUCAUGAUCAAUUGUUUGUAGAAGAUGGUUCUUAGUUUCUUGUUUUGGUGAGAGUGCAAGCCUUUCUGCCAAAGCAAUGCUUUCUUGAGCAAUUUGAAUACAAAUAAUACAACAAAUCCUUAAUUUUAAGGUAUUUUGUAAUAGGUUUGAUUGGUGCUAUGCUAUUUUCUAAGACAAGCCAAGAUGGUCCCUCCAUCGCAUGGGAUCUAUUUCUCAUUUCUUUUAAUAAUACUAAGAAUAUUUAAUAAUAAUAAUAUGUUAGUGUAGAUGUAUUUUUUGCAAUUGACAUAAUAUCAAAUAAAGCAAGCACCAAAGUAACAUAAUUUCCUUUUGCGCCUUUCAAUAGAUUUAAAUAAAAUAAAGCAUAUGAAAGAAAACACACAAAAAUUACAUCACUUGGAGUGAAAUUCCUUGUAAUUACUUAAGGGUGUAGUUAGCAAAUAAACAAAAUAUUUUGCUCAAGAUAUAAUAAGGAAAGAAAAAAAACAUUUACUUCAUAUACGCAAACCCAUGAGUCCAAUUCUAAAAGAAAACAUUGGCCCAACUCCUUUACAAAAUAAACAUCACCCUUAAUUUUUUUUUUCUCUCAAAAUAUAAAAGCCUAAAAUUUCACUUUCUUACACUAAGAAGUAACUUUUUGUUUUGUUAAAAAUUAAUUAUUAAUAAAUAAAUACUACAACCUAAUAAUACCCUUCUAAAUAAUUAAAUAAUAAUAUCAAUACUGGUGGGAUCAUCUACAUCAGUCUAAUACUUGUCUUCUUUUUAUUAAUUACAUAAAAAAAAUAGAAUAAACACCACUUAACGCAACUAAUUUAACGAGUUAGACAGAAUUGGAAUUAAUGGACUAAACACAAAUGGAUUUAAUUGCCAGACACAACUAAACUUGACUAGAAAAAGUAGAUAGAAUUUUAAACGGAAUGAACAGUGUAUUUUACAGUUAGCCAGUCUAUUAAAAGACCAUUAAUUAAGCAUAUGAAUGUGUUAAUAAUAACAUAUUAAAUUACUUUUCAUCCCAGAUAAUUUCAUAUAAUAAAUAAUUUAACUUUUCCAUGUUUAAAUAAUUAAAUUAUCAGCUUUAACAAAUCUUAUUAAAGCAAACAAAAUGGGAAAAAAGGAACUAAACCUUAAGAAAUUUAAUUAUGACUCAAUCAAACGAAAAAGCAAUUAUGUGAUAUUCAUCAAAACCUAAUUGAUGAAGUUAGCAUCAUCUAUGUAUAAGGAUAAUAAAUCAAAUAAUGUAGUGUUUAUAAAAUAACCCAGUGGGUAUGUUGUUUGUUUGAUAUUGACAUUGACAUUGAAAUCAAUGUCCAAUCAAAAGAGACCCUUGAAUAUGAAAAUGCUAUUAUGGAAAAGAUUCCACAUACAGAUAAGUAUCUACUGAAUGCAAAAACUGUUGAAGGCAACAGUGAUGCAUUCCAAAUGAAUUAUUCUGUAUCUUUAUAUUUUUUUUAUGAGAUAUAUUUUUUUUUAUUCCAAGAGUUUUAUUAUUAUGUUACAAAUUAAUAAAUUGUAUAAUUAGCUUUUCUUUUAAAUUGGAAAGAUCUAAUUUAGACUCUGGUUUAGGGUUAAUGGCUUGACUGAUUUAUAUAAAUCAUUAUAGGUAAACAAAAUAUUAUUAAAUAUUACUAUGUUAAAAAAUUAAAUGAAAAUGAAAUUUAUAAAAUUGAAAUCUUAGAUAUACAAAACUUGGAGUGAAAAUUUGUAAAAAAGAGUAAAACAAAAGUCUUAACAUAAAGCUAUCAAUAAUUCAGUUAUAGGAAUUUUGUCCUUUAGAAAAUAAAAAUGUUUAUCGGAGGCAGAAAGAAGCAUGAAUUGAGAGUAACAGGCCCACAUAUUAUUCUGGUUAUGAUUCCAGGCCCAAGAUUCUAUAAAAAGAAUCUCGCAACAUUUUUAUUUUUUAAUUUUAAAUUUUACAUAUAUUCAAUUUUCUUAACAACUUACGUUGAUAAUAGUGAGGAAUAAGUGAAGUGCCAUCGAUGGCGUAAGGGAAAAAGGCAAGGUGGGUCCUACGGUGAAGCUUCCCUUGUGAAUAUAACCAAAAAUAAGGAAGGUAUUCAAUUCGUCCCCCGCACGCUACCUGUAACCCAACCUUCCCAAUUCGCAAUUAUUAUUUAUCUAUAUAAUCCCUCCUUCUCUGUUCAAACUCCCAAAUCACAGCUACUUACCUCACUCUUUCUCUCUUUGCUCUUCCAAUGGCCACCACCACCACUUCUCUUUCCACGCUCUUCCUUCUCUUCCUCGCAACCGUCGCUCUUGUUGCCGCUCGCCGUGACCUCGUCGGAGACUUCCUCCGGCUGCCGUCUGAUUCCGGUAACGAUGAUAACGUCAAGGGGACGCGCUGGGCCAUCCUCUUCGCCGGUUCGAACGGCUAUUGGAACUACAGACAUCAGGUCCAUCUCUUUUUUACUUGAUUCGACUAGUUUUGAUGCUUUUCUAUUUUCGUUUUAUCAGAAAUUAUUUCAGCCGUUCGAUUGUGAAUCUUUCCACAGAACAUUUUAGAUUCUAUGCUUCAGAGAGUGUACACCGUCCGAUUCAGGACAAAUGAAUCUCUGAUCCUUACCGGUUUCAAAUGACCUACUGAAUAAAUAGACGUGACAACUUGCUACUGACGUUCCAACUGACUCUUUAGAUAUCAGUUUUAAUAUUCAAACAAACUUUCAGUUUAAUUAAACAAUUUAUUUUUUUCAAAAUUCAGUAAGAAUAAAAAUAUUCGGUAAAUUUUAAUUUAAUUUUCUAAUUUAAAUUUAAACGAAGAUAUAUAUGUAUGUAUGAAUUGCAAAUACUGUUAACAAAUCCGAACUAAUAUACUAUGAUAUAGUUUAUGUCUCUUGUAAUAAAAUUUCAGUCGUUUAUGAUGACGUAAUAUGAACAAAAUUUAAAUAUCUGAUUUUUGGAAUAUUUUUAAUCUUAACAAAACGUAAUAAAUCAACUUUUAAAUUUGUAAAAAAAUAAAUGUUGAUAAAAUAUUUUAAGAUAUGUGGUAUGAGAAAAUCUGCUUGAAAUCUCGUAUUAAAACAUAGUAAAGUAAAAUAUCAUAUUAAGUCAAUAAAGUACAGAAAAAUUAAAAUGAUAUUUUGAAUGACUAAAUUGAAGAAUUUUAAAGUAUAAAUAUUCUGUCAAAUAAUUAAGAACUAAAUAAGUAAUUAAACCUUAUUAUUGCUAUUGUUAUAAAUAGUUGCGUUAAUAAUUUCAAGUUGCCUCUUGUAUGUGGUAGUUGAACGAAGGGAAAUCCUCGCAUGUUUGUGUUUUGAGUAACUUUGCUUUGCCAAGUACUUCUUGUGUUCUUGCUAACAUCUUAUUAUAAUCAGCAAUUCUCUUGCAUGACAUAAUACCAACCUAAACUGUUGACUUUUAGUUUAAAAUUAAAAUAUAGAGAAUAAUUGCACACUUGGAGUGUCCUUCAAUUAUUGAAAAGUUGCAUUUAUCUCCUGUACUUUAAUAUUAAAAACAUACAGAUAUGUAUCUUAUUCUUAGGAGAGUCACUCAGAUGGAGGUUUUCUUUAUCAAAAAGGGUGUGACUAGGAUAGCAAUAACUCUGAGGGAGGCAGGGCAUUAAAACAGAAACGCUGAUAAUCCACUCUAAUUUUUUUUUUUUUACUAAAAUACAUCCGAAUUUGAUUUCUCAUAAAUUUAUUUUUUAACUCAUUAUUGUAUUUUAUUAUUUAUGUAUGAUGAAAUAAUUAAUAUUUUUUUAAUGUGAUUUGAUGUGUCUUGUAUUUCUGUCUGUUUACAUUCUCACUCAACAGCAACCACCUCUUUGGUGAACCAACACGACGUAAUAACUUGUGCGUAUUUUUUUUUUCUUUAAGACAUUAUUAUAAAUAUAUGUUUUAUGUAUUAUGGUUUUAAACGUUUUGUUUUUAUGCUGUCAUUACUUUCCUUUAAGAAAUUCAAUUAAUGAUAUUUACAUAUUUAAUAAGAUUCACGUGAAUUUCAUCCAAAAGAGUGAAUCAGAAAAAUAAAACAUGAUUAACAUUUUGAUACUAGUAAAAUAUAUUAUUGAUACCGUAGACAGCACUCAAUCUCAAAUUAGUGCCGUUUACGAAAGUGACUGCAAGUUAGUCUCAAUGCAAAAUCAUUUACAAUGUUAUCUCUGAAAAAAUUGAAAAUUAUUGACACGUUCAAACACAAAUUAUGAUACCGCUGUUAAUUAUAUGUUAAGUUUGGUCCCUGUAGUCAAUAUUCUAUCAUUCUGUGAUAUACAAGUCAUCAUGCUGAAAAAGUGUUUUGAAUCAUCUUCUAUGUCUUAAUUGUGAUUUUUUGUCAUCUUAAUUGCAAUCUUUAUGAUUGGAUCGUAAUGAUUUGAACGGAGUUUAUAAAAAUAGACUAACAUAGGGAAAAUGAUUUAAACAGAUAAAACUUAGUCGGCUCUCAUCUUAAAAGGAUACAAAACUUUCAUCUUUAAACCCGUUUCCUGUUUCGAUGAUAUGCACACGGGAAAAAAUUCUCUGGACUCCCUUAAUUUAACACAAUUUUCUGUAUUGCAUAAUUAUUUAGUUUUAAUGUAGAGUUUUUCUUGUUGCAUCAGGCCGAUAUUUGUCAUGCCUAUCAAAUACUGAGGAAAGGUGGCCUGAAAGAAGAAAAUAUCAUUGUUUUUAUGUAUGAUGACAUUGCAUUCAAUUGGGACAAUCCAAGGCCUGGAGUCAUCAUUAACAAACCAGACGGGGAUGAUGUUUAUGAAGGAGUUCCAAAGGUAUUUAUGUUAGGCUUUUCACUAUCCAAUAUCUUCUUGCUAUUUCUAGUUUGAUAGGGUCUAAUAUGUGGAUUGUUUUUUAUGGUAGGAUUACACUGGCGAAGAUGCUACUGCUCAUAACUUUUAUUCUGCUUUACUUGGAGAUAAGUCGGCGCUUACCGGUGGCAGUGGGAAGGUUGUGAACAGUGGGCCCGAUGAUCGCAUAUUUAUAUUCUACUCUGAUCAUGGUGGUCCAGGGGUUCUCGGUUAGUAGCUCUAAGUUCUCUCACAGAAAAUUUUAAUUACAGUCAAGGAUUGUGUUGGUUGUAUAUAUGGGUUUCAGCAUGGUAUAGGCCAGGAUUGAGGUUAUUACUUUUGUUGUUUGGUUGAUUUUGUGUGUAGAUUUAUUUGAUUAUGCCUGUGUAGAACGAAACAUCUUAGUAUUUCAGUGUCAAGUAUGAUUUUCCCGAAGUGAUGUUUGUGUUCUGUGGGUGAUGGAUACGACAACUUAGUAAAGUGAAAGUUGCAAACAGAUAAAUGAUGUAUCUGAAUAGAAUGAAAUAUUUCAAAAUGUUUUUGAAAUUUUUUUUAUCUCUAUUAUUUUUUUCUUAGUAAUGAUGUAUUUUCAGUUAGAAAAACAUCAUAGCUGGACGAUAUCACAAAUUUGUGAAUUGAUUACAUUACCCUAGGAUCCGAUUGUCUAUUCAUCAAAUGGUAUAUUCAUUCAUCAUGUCUAAUACAACCUCUGUUCAUAAUUUCUGACGGAGACAUUUCAAAGUGUGCUGCAAUGAAAAUCAUUCACUGUGAUUUUGUAAUCCUAGUUUUCCGUUAGAUAAUAUUUUUCAUCCUUUUCUGAUCAGAAAAAUAUUGUCAUCCUUUUUCUAGAGACUAGUAUAUGUCCCAUGAUUCAGUAGAUUGAACGGCAUCUCUGUAUACCUCUUUUGAAUUCUUUUUUAAUACGUGUGGGUAACAUGAAGGUUAAAUCACAGUUACCAGAGCAAAAGGAAUAUGGAAAAAGGAAAAAAAAAAAGGGAGACAGGGGUGGAAUACAUGGUCUUUAGUGUUUUCGAUAUACUAUUUGUUUACAUGACAAAUUGGUUCUUCCUACUGACAAUGUUAAUAUCUGCUCCUUGCUAUUUCUUACUUCAUUUUUUUUUGGAUAUGUGAAUGGAUUUUAGGGACGCCUGCUGGUCCUUACAUAUAUGCAUCUGAUUUGGUUGAAGUAUUGAAGAAAAAGCACGCUUCUGGAACGUAUAAAAACCUAGUGAGUUUCUAAAAGUUCUCAUUUUUUAAAAUUUGGAUAUCAUUGCUGUUUAGGUAAAUAAUCCCCCUCCCCCUUUCAAAAAGCUGUCACUGGGGGCUUUGGCUAAGAACAUAGUAAGAUGUUUUGAACACAAAAUAAGCUAAUUUGAACGCACUAAGUCCUUUGAUUAUACAAUGGUGGUGCAGGUAUUUUAUUUGGAGGCAUGUGAAGCUGGAAGUAUUUUUGAAGGUCUUCUUCCUGAAGAUAUCAAUAUUUAUGCAACAACGGCUUCGAAUGCCGAAGAAAGUAGUUGGGGAACAUAUUGUCCUGGGGAAUAUCCUAGUCCUCCCCCAGAAUAUUCAACCUGCUUGGGUGACCUGUACAGUGUUGCUUGGAUGGAAGACAGGUAUGUACAUCAUAGGCAAAAACAAUUAGAUCAUAAAUGAUAUCAAUUAUCAUGCAAUACUUAUAUGCUCAUGACUUAUGUUUUCACAAUGGAGUUGUUAAUGCAUGUGACUAUCGUAUUGUGUGUUUGUUCUUGGAGAUGCCUUUUAUAAUAAAGUUGUUUUUAUUUAUUUUUGCACUUGCUCUGUUUUUGCUGUUAGAUCAGAAGAACUGUACUUUAUUUAAAUAAUUACGUAAAUUGCAUGGGAUUAAUUUUAUUUUUCUUUACUUGUGAGCAGUGAUAGACACAAUUUGCGAACAGAAUCUUUACACCAACAAUAUAAAGUGGUGAGUUCUUGUUUUUAAAUUUUUUAAAUUAAAUGUUAUAAAUAUAAGAAUAUAAUUCAAUACCUUGAUAUUCAUUGCUCAGUUACAAGUGAGAUGUGGUAUGAGUUGUAACUGAGGCUUUAUUUAUCCUGCCUUUACAGGUUAAGGAUAGGACUCUAUCUGGAGGUUGGUAUGGCUCUCACGUGAUGCAGUAUGGUGAUGUAGAGUUUAGCAAGGAUACUCUCUUCCUGUAUUUGGGUACAGAUCCUGCAAAUGAUAAUUUGACUUUUGUGGAUGAAAACUCCUUAUGGUCAUCUUCAACAGCAGUCAACCAAAGGGAUGCUGAUCUCGUCCAUUUUUGGCAUAAGGUAUCUUGUUUGUGCAAUAUUCAUUCUUUUGGUUAUGAAUUAAUUGCUUGAUCAUGUUCUCACCGGUGAAAACCAAUAAACAUGUCAUAUGCUGUUAAUGGGAACAAAACAUAUUGUUUGCUUAAACCAAUACUCAGUGUUGAGAUAAGUGGGUGCGUCAAUGCACGGGAUAUCAUAACCAUAUAUUUGAAGUACUAGUAGAACUGAACUAGCCAGAUAUUCAUACGAGGAAAUGAUCUAAAACCGAUAGAUCUGUAAAGUUUUGUGCAUCUUAUGCCUUGGUGCUACUCGCCAGUAGUAACCCUUUUUUUUCCAGGAAUGUUUUGCACUAAACCACUAGAAGAUAAUGGUUGUAAUCUGAUGACACAUUUUAUUUUGUGGGUGAUAAAGUUUUGCUUAUUGUAUUUUAUCUUAAUUUCAUCUACACUGUUUUUUGCCAGUUCCGCAAAGCUCCGGAGGGUUCUCCUAAGAAAAAUGAAGCUCGGAAACAAGUUCUGGAAGUAAUGUCUCACAGAAUGCAUAUAGACGACAGUGUGAAACUUGUUGGAAAGCUUUUAUUUGGAUUUGAAAAGGCUCCUGAAGUACUGAAUGCUGUUAGACCGGCUGGAUCGGCACUUGUUGAUGACUGGGCCUGCCUGAAAACCAUGGUAUCAUUUUUUUUAUGAGGCCAAUAUGAUAGAGAGAUUUUGUCAUAAAUAAGUAUAGUGUAACAGAAUUAGAUUUUCAUUACUUUUUAGCUUGAACCUUGAAGCAAUGAUGUUUGUGAUCUCUGAAAAUGAACAGAGUCGGGUUUCUUUGGUUCUUCACUUUGGUUUAAGAGAAAAUAAUGGUCAUCUUAACUUAUUUUCAAUGCAGGUAAGGACUUUUGAGACACAUUGCGGAUCCUUGUCUCAGUAUGGGAUGAAACACAUGAGGUCCUUUGCAAACAUCUGCAAUGUAGGAAUAAAGAAAGAGCAAAUGGCUGAAGCCUCAGCACAAGCUUGUGUCACUGUUCCUGCCAGUUCCUGGAGUUCUCUGCAAAGAGGUUUCAGUGCAUAAUUCCUGUAAUGUUCACCAGUAAAGAUAAAAGCAUGAUUAUUGUUACAUUAUGUUAUGUGGUUGUACAUACAUAUCUUGUCCCGCCUCUGUAAAUGCAAUUGGGACACUACUAGGAGUUCCAUAUAUUUUAGUUUGGCAUAUAUUGCUUGUGUUUGGAAACCUGUUGAGAAUGGAUGAAUCACAUCACAAACGUGACAAAUCACAUUUGAAACGCAAAUCCAAACACGUAAUGCAACUCCCUUUGUAUAAACCCAUCCAUUUAUGGCAUUAGGAGGAUGAAGCGCCAGUUGCUUUGUAUGCAAACACAGGGUUAUGAUCUGUUUCGAUUCAAUAGGUAACAGCCAGAUCGGGUUUUCCCUGUCCAACAUUUUGUAUAAUUAUUCUCUGGUACAACAUUUGAUGUAAAAAUUACUGUUUAAUAUUAAUGGGGACAUUAUAUUUCUCCUUUAUGAUAUUUGGACUCAACUAUACUAUACUAUUGUCUCUUGUUUUUACUUACUUUUCCAGUCUUACAAAGUUACUAUUUAGUAAAAACUCAAAUAAUUUACAACAUUAAUUUCACAAUCUAAUCUAGAAAGUUUAGCUAGAACUUGGUUUCAUAGAUCACGACUAGCUUCUUGUGAUUAAAACUAGGUAAAUAAUAUAAUGAUACUCACAUAUAAAUAAAUUAAUAUUUCGUGCCAUUAAAUAUCGAAAACGACCUUUAAAUAGUACGGUAGCUAUUACCGAACAUGGGAAUAGCUUAAACAAUUUUACCCAACCUUUUAUCUCCGUCAACUUUAAUCUCUUUCGUAUUUUUCAAUUAUCCUGAUAUCAUAAUUUUUUUUUAAGUUAUCUUCAUCAUCUUACAUUUAAUUAGUGCUGGCAUAAUUCAACAAAUUGUACUAAACUAUAGUUAUCAAUACUAUAAUAUAUUUAAAAAAACUAAACUAUUUUUUACUAAAAACUAAUUAAUUGUUUUAUAGUUCAGUUUAAGAAAAUUGAACUUUUUAUAGUUUGAGUUUAGUUAAUUGAUGAACUGUUUCUUUUUUUAUAUUUUUAUUCAAUUGCUUUUCGGGAAAACUUAUCUACUCUUUCUUAAAAAUGAAUCACACUUUUCUCAAUGUAUUAUUUGCUAUCUAAAAUUUGUCUUUUAAACCUACAAUUUCUUGCUCUUAUAUGAUCAUGCAUUUUGUAUGCUUUUUGACUCAAUGAUUUCAAAUAUUCUCAUUCUGAAUGAUAGAAUCUAUAAUGGGGUCACAUGAAAUAGUGUAAAUAUUGUUUCUUUGAGGGUGUUUUAUACUCUAAGCAUUUCUUAUAUCAGACCAUUAUCUGCAUAAAUUUAAUUCCUUGUUGCUGAUAUUAACUCCAUGUUGUUGAUGCUGAUAUUUCUAAUAUUAAUUAAGCAAUUAAUAUGUUAUAAAAGUAUAAAAUCUAAGACUUGAUUUUUUUCUAUGAAAGAAGAUCAAGAAUUUAUGGUACAGAGGACAACAGUUUUUGCUAAUGCUUUAUUUAUCCCUUUGUAAUGCAUUAAUUAUCUCUCUGCCCCUAAUAAAAAUAAUUCAUUAUAUUUGUUAUAUUUUUUCUUUAUGUACUGCAUAAUUUAUUGGAUAAAGAUACUUAGACAACAUUUUCUUGACAACAUUUGAACAUCAUCAUACGUGUCAUUGUGUGAUUGGUCCAUGGUGGUGUCAUUGUGUCAUUUGGACCAGUCACACAAUGACACGUAUGAUGAUGUUCAAAUGUUGUCAAAAAAAUGUUGUCUAUGUAUUAUUACCCUAAUUUAUUCACAUCACAACACAAACAGUUUGAUCUUGGAGUUUGGUGUAAUAAUUUGAUCUUGGAAAGAAAUUGGAUCAGUUUAGUAAACUGCACUAUAACUCAACUAGAAAAUAGUUCAGUUAAAUUUUUCUGAACUAUUUUUUAGUUCAAUUUAAUUUACACAAACUAUUUUAUAGUUAACUAUAAAUUUUUGUAAUUUUUGUAAUAUAGUACAGUUUGGUAUACUUUGUUCAACCCUACAUUUAAUUAUAUAUUUCUUUUUAUUUUAUAAUAUCUAAACGAUAUUUCCCAAAAUAAUGGUAUACGUAAUUUUAUUUACCUUAUAAAUUAAGAAUCAUUAUAACUCACUAAAUAAAUUAUUUUUUAUGAAAUAUAUCGAUUUAACAUUUCAGAGAGAUUUAACUGUUACAUAUAAUAUGUCCCAUUUUAUAUUUUAACACGUAGUAUAAAAUAUACUUCAUCUUCUCUUCAUUCACCAAUAAGCACUCAUGCCCCUUAUAAGAAAUCUCUCAAAUAUCACAUUUAAACCUUUUUUCUCUUGGGAAGUAAAAUAAAUUAAAUGCUCACACGUGACCCACCAAAUUUUUCUUCAAAAGACAAAAACGCAGGUCAUGUUUUACUCAAAAUCCAUUGAUAAUUCCAAAUAAGUAAACGAGAAAACAAAAAGCCAAUAUUUUUACAAAAUCCAUCAACAUCCCAAACUCUUCAAUCCUGCAAUCUGGAUCAACCCACAAGGUAAAUUUCAUAAAGCCACACUCCCCUAAACCUAUAUUAUCUGUUUAUUUUUCUUCCAAUUCAUGCACUUUUGGAUUCCCUAUUUAUAAUGUUUAAAAUUCUAAGGUCAGUAAAGGUUUAAAAAACAAACAUAGAGCAUUGAUUACUCAUGGUUGGUGCUUUUUUUCUUCUUAAUUUAUCUUAUUUAGGAAUGGCUAUGAGGAGCAAGGAAAUUAUCUCAGCAGACAGGGAUAUGUACGAUAUGAGAGAGACUCAUAACAAUAAUAAUAACAAGAAUGGUAUUAUUAAUGGACCAGUCUUGGAAAAGGAAGAGGCAGCAAUUUGGGUACCCAAGUUCAUGAUUGGUUUGACCAACAAGGAGAAGGAGGAAGAUUUUUUAGUCUUCAAAGGUACAAAACUUCCUCCAAGACCCAAAAGGAGGGCUAAAUUCAUGCAACGCAAUAUCAAUGUAAGCCUUCACCAUUAACUCUUUUAUUUUACAUUUUCCACCACUUUAAUUUAAUUUCCUACUUCUUUUAACAUAGGAUUUCAUCAUAAUUACCAGAAGUGCAAAAAUAAAUAUAUUUUUUUUCUCAAAUAAACAACCUUAUAUGACAUGAUUAAUAUUUACAUCUUUAAUUAUUAUUAUUAUAAGUAAAAUUAAUAAUAAUAAUAAUAAUUUUAUAAUUUGCAUUAUCUUUCGCUUAAUUUAAACAAUUUCGUUUUCUCAGUGUUUACUCUCUUUGUCUCUCUUUUUUUUUUUUUUUAUUCCGUAACUUCCGUCAUCUGAUCCAAACCAUUCAUUCCAAUUAGAAAUAUUUAAAUCUAAUUUAUUAGCGUAAAUAAACAAAGAAAAGCUUCCAUCACGUGACAUUAAUUAAGGAUUUGAAUGAAACGUUGUUGUAUGAGUUGUCAUGACAAUUAGAAAAAAGCUGAAAAAGUUAUUGUAUGACAAAAAUAAUAGUUAAUACAGUUUUUAAGUAACCAUAUUAUAUAUAUAACGUUAAAAUGUUUUCUCUAACGCCUAUUUAAUUUCUAGAGAAAGAUAUUUAAAUACUUAAUUUUGGUAUAAUAAACAUUUUAAAAUUCAACUACUUCUCUCGAAGAUGUUAAACGGGUAUCCUUAUUCACGAUAAUAAUAUUUGCUGGGUCUAUAUUAAAACAUUUUUAACGUUAUUUAAAGGUUUUCAUUUAGUUAUAUGUUAUUUGCACUUUAAUAUCAAAAUAUUUAUUAUUAUAAAAUAUUUUUUUAAAACAAAAUAUACAAUUUUAAUAUUAUUUUUAUGGCUAAAAGAUUAUUCAAAACGAAAAGGUCCUAAAUUUAUUAUAAUAUCAACAUACUUCAAUAUAUUGAGUUUAUAUAACUUAGGUAUUAUACUUAUUACUUUAAACAUAACUCUUGCAAUAUAAAUGUUCUAAAUGAUUAACAUAAGCUUGAAGCAUGUUUCUACAAGCAUAAUAAAACUAAAAAUAUCCAAUCGUAGAUUGAUUAACUUUAAAAAUCAAACUUUUCCAUAUUCUUUCAAAUACUCGUGGAUGUGAUCUUUAUCCAAUGAAAAAAAAAUAUUAAAAAAAAAAGAGCACUAAUGUAAAAUAAUAUCAUUAUCGUAUUUAACAUUAUUAUUAUUAUUAUUAUUAUUAUUAUUAUUAUUAUUAUUAUUAUUAUUAUUAUUAUUGAGUGUGUUGCAGAUGGUAAGUCCAGGUACAAAACUAAACAAACUUUGUGUGGAACGAUAUGAAGUUAGGGAGAAGAAUAUAUCGAAAAAGGUAAGACAAAAUAAUUAUUUAAAUUUUUUCAACCACUAAAAAAAAUAUCAUUGUUAGAUACGGUGAAAAUCCGUAUAUAACCUCUAAGAAAUUAGGUUAAUGUUAUGCAGAAAGCAAGAGGGUUGAAAGCAAUGUGCAAUAUGGAAUCUGAAUCUGAAUCUGAGUAGAAAGAAGACAAUAACAAUCAAUGGAGUUGUUUCUGUGUGGUCAAAUGCUAUCAGAAAUUUUGAGAUACUGAAGCAUGGUAGAGUGAUAACAAAUUCAAAACCAAAUAUUUAUUGCUUUUUCUUUAAUCAGCCUUACUUUUUUAUUUAUUUAUUGGAUAUUUUAUUAUAAAAUACUUUUGUUUUUCUGAUUUUUUUUUUCUUUCAUGGUUAUUCUUUGUGUAUUGAUUUUCAAUUUUUUUUUAUCGAUAUGCUAACAUAACAAUAAUCUAUAUCAUUAUAUAAUUAUACAAAGAAGAUUCACAAUUUUCGUACGCAUUUUGCUUUUAAUUUUUUUUACUAUUUUAUAAGUUUUAUCCAUUAAAUGAUUUUUUUUUAAUUUAACCCUUUUUUUAAAUUAAAAUAACCAUAGUAAAAAAUUUACCUACAAAAUAAAUAAAAACUAUCUUUUAUUACAAAAGUUAUUUAUAUUUAUUUUUAUAAUUAUAAUUGUAUUAGAAAAAAAAAUUAAACAUGUGUAUAACACAUGCUUUCAUUAAUAAUAUAUAAAAAUAGGAGUUUUAUUUUGACUUGUUGUAGAAUUAUUAACAAAAUUAUUUCAUUGGAUUGUUCGUCAUCGUUUUGCUAUAAGUUUAAUCGAUCAACCAAAUUUUCGAAAAUUAAAAGGUUUUUGUAAUAAACUACAUAACAAAUAAAAAAUAAGUAACAUAAUUUGGUGACCUCAUUUUUUUUUUGUUUGAUAGUGAUAAAAUUAACUUUUUUUUUUCAAAACAAUUUAAUUACUUUUUAUUUUUUUGGUAAUUUUUUUCAAUAAUAUGUGACAGGUAAAAAUUGUUAAAGUAAAAUUGUCUAGAAGGAUUAUGGACUGUUUAGCAAUUAAUAUUUUAAAAUUUAAUUUACAAUACUAAACAAAAUGUUCUUUAUUGAGUAAAGCUUCUAAAAAAUGUAUUACUAAAAAUAAGGUUGAACAAAAUAAGAAUUUAUCAAUACAAAUCAAUUUUAAAUGAUAAUAACAAUAAUAAUAUUAUAUCGUUUAUAAGACAUUGUUUAAACAAACAAUGUAUAACAAAAGAAAACAUUUAAGUGUACGCAUAAUUGAAUACUGAAGCUUAAGAUUUUAUAUUCAAAUAGUAUUGAACAUAUAAGCGUCCAAAGAAAAAAAAAAUAUAGGAAAAACUUAUCAAAUAAUGUAAUGAAACUCAAACUGUUUUAUGAAAUAAGAUUUUUUAAUAAUCUGAUUCCUAAAUGAUAUACCUAUCAAACAAGUUAACAUGUGUUAGUAUGUUUUAAGCACAUAAUAUGUCUUAAUGUUUAUCACCAUUUAAAACAUUCAUUGUAUGUAUGAAAAAAAUGUGUUUAAAAAAUAGGAAUGUUUGAAAAGAAAUAACGGAGAGAGGAGUGUGAGCCGGAGGAGGAAGAAGGAUAUCAAGGAAAAAAGAUAAGGGCAACUCGGUCUUUUCCAAAAUUUAUGGGAGUGCGGGAUGAAAUGUACAAAGGUAUAGGAAGAAAGAGCAAAUGAAAGUGUUGAUUUUCUAUCUUCUUACACACCCACUCACAGGGGUUACUCCCUGUACCUUCCCAAUUCCAAUCCACACCCUCCCAUUCUAUUUUUACCCUUUGUUCUAUUUUUUCUAUUCCAAUUUUAUCCUUUAGCAAAAAUUUAUAUUUAGAAAUAAAAUUUUAUAAUUUUAUUCUCCCACCCCCACAUAACCUAUUUAUUCUUUUUUUUUAUUUUCAUGCUUUCGUCUUCACGCUUUCUUUCCAGGAAUUCUUUGUUCUAUUUUUCUAGAAAUUCUUUCUCCCAUUCUUCUUGUAUUUCAAGUGAUAAUUGAGAUAUCGAUUUCUUCUGAAAGAAUUUGUCCUUGAAUUAUUAUAUCUCUGCAUUACAUUGGUGUGGUGGUGUUGUAUCCAACCUUUAAGCAGUGAUCCUCUUCNNNNNNNNNNNNNNNNNNNNNNNNNNNNNNNNNNNNNNNNNNNNNNNNNNNNNNNNNNNNNNNNNNNNNNNNNNNNNNNNNNNNNNNNNNNNNNNNNNNNNNNNNNNNNNNNNNNNNNNNNNNNNNNNNNNNNNNNNNNNNNNNNNNNNNNNNNNNNNNNNNNNNNNNNNNNNNNNNNNNNNNNNNNNNNNNNNNNNNNNNNNNNNNNNNNNNNNNNNNNNNNNNNNNNNNNNNNNNNNNNNNNNNNNNNNNNNNNNNNNNNNNNNNNNNNNNNNNNNNNNNNNNNNNNNNNNNNNNNNNNNNNNNNNNNNNNNNNNNNNNNNNNNNNNNNNNNNNNNNNNNNNNNNNNNNNNNNNNNNNNNNNNNNNNNNNNNNNNNNNNNNNNNNNNNNNNNNNNNNNNNNNNNNNNNNNNNNNNNNNNNNNNNNNNNNNNNNNNNNNNNNNNNNNNNNNNNNNNNNNNNNNNNNNNNNNNNNNNNNNNNNNNNNNNNNNNNNNNNNNNNNNNNNNNNNNNNNNNNNNNNNNNNNNNNNNNNNNNNNNNNNNNNNNNNNNNNNNNNNNNNNNNNNNNNNNNNNNNNNNNNNNNNNNNNNNNNNNNNNNNNNNNNNNNNNNNNNNNNNNNNNNNNNNNNNNNNNNNNNNNNNNNNNNNNNNNNNNNNNNNNNNNNNNNNNNNNNNNNNNNNNNNNNNNNNNNNNNNNNNNNNNNNNNNNNNNNNNNNNNNNNNNNNNNNNNNNNNNNNNNNNNNNNNNNNNNNNNNNNNNNNNNNNNNNNNNNNNNNNNNNNNNNNNNNNNNNNNNNNNNNNNNNNNNNNNNNNNNNNNNNNNNNNNNNNNNNNNNNNNNNNNNNNNNNNNNNNNNNNNNNNNNNNNNNNNNNNNNNNNNNNNNNNNNNNNNNNNNNNNNNNNNNNNNNAAAAGAAACUAACCUGUCCGAAACGAACGAAGCAAGAACCACCGCCCCGCACCGCCGCAACACCCGCCGCACCAGCACCCUCCGCGCCGCCGCACACACUGGCAAGUGCACCGACCAACACACCCGCAAACGAAACCAACGUCUACCACCUCUCCGCACCGCGCCGGACCGCUACACAAUCACCGCACCGCCACCCACCGCACACCAAAACCACCAGACCGCACAAAGCAACGGAAAGUUCAGAGGAGGACUGGGAGAGUGAGAGUUGCAAAGAGCGUUUUGAAAAUGAAAGGUUUGGUGGGGGUGGGAAUACGAAGGAGAGGGAAUGUUUGGGUCUGUGUGUGUUUGACUGAAGCAGAGUGUAAAAGAGGUAGGAUAGGUUAACUUUAGUAAAUAGGGGUAAAAAGAUAAAAUUAAAAAAUUCAAAAACGUUAUUUUUAUAUUUAAAAAAACAUCCAAAAAAAUUGGGGGGUGGGGAUUGGAAUUGGGGAGGUACAGGGAGUAACCCCCCUCACACAACCCAAGCUAAAGUCCACCAUAGGAAAAGAAAAUGACAUUACUUCAUGCAACUCCCAUAAUUACUAAAUACACCCCACAAUAUUAGGAAAAGAUUCCCGCAUCCUAUCUCUGUGUGUGGAUAUGUAUUUAGGUCUCAUAUCCAUUAGUUUAAUUUCUUCGUGGAUUUUUUUUCUUACACAAUUUUUUUUUCUCAAUUGAUUAACUUGAGCAAUAUCUACUUAUUUCAUUCAAAUUACAAAGUAUUAUUAUCAUAAAUUUGAUUACAUAUUUGUUUAUUUUGUAGGGUAUGAAUGUUUAUCAUAAGGAAGUCUUUCUCUUUUGAAGUAGAAAAAGUGAAAGGUUACUCAAAAUUUAAUCUUAAGAUUUGAAACACUAAACAUAAUUUUUUAAUUCAAUCAAAUUAUUAGAAAAUAAAUUUUAAGUUUAACUCAACUCCACUGUUUGUAAGAUAAUGAUUGCAUUUCACUUAUAUAUUAUAAAUUAAUCUUAUUUCUAGUCGAUGUGUAACUCAUAUAAAAUACUUAAUUGAUACGUAAAUGUAUAAUAAAGUAUCGAUCUUAUACGGGUAAUAUGAAUAUAAGUGACAUAAAUUCGUACAAUCUGCUUAAUCAUUGACCUGUAUUUGUUUUAAGUAAAUAUGUUACUCGAUUGAUAAAAAAAUUAUUUUGCAUGAAAAAAAUAAUUUAUAUAAAUAACGUCUUACAAAAUUAUAUAAUUUAAAAGCACCUUAAAUAAAAUGGAAAUCCUUUUAACUGUUGAGAAGUUGAAAGUGUUAAGGAAUGAGUUGGUGAGUGAGUAAUCAAUUGAAAGAUUUGGCAGUGAUUGCAGUCUUGAGAAUUCAAAAGCACUGCAGUCAAGUUCUUUUAACAAAGAAGCCGCUUUUGCCAAAGUGAAAAAUCUUUGUACUUUUAAAAUGUUUGUAAUAACUUUUUCUUCUUUCAGUAUCUGGCAACAGAGAAAAUCCAAAAGAAUGGUAAAACACAUUAUUGUUGGUUUAGGGAAGAGUUUUUAACAAUUUUUUUGAGAAUAUAUACGUGAUAGUUUAUAAUUGGUCUGUUUUAAAUAUAUUUUUAAACAUAAAUUAAAAUAGAUGAAUAAAAUAAUGAUACGUAUCAUGUUGUCAAAAAAUUGUUAAAAAUAAUUAUAAAAAAAAUAUGAAAAUGCUUUAAACAAUGGUAAAACACAUGAUUGUUGGUUUAGGGAAGAGAUGCUCUUAUUCCUUCUUCUUGGUUGCCAUCAUAUCAAAUACAGCUAAGCAUCGAAUAAUUUCUGGAAUUAAUUCCUUAUUCAUAUACUCUACUUUUUCUUCGUAUAAACAUCAAACUUUUCCAUUUUUUAUUUUAGCAUAAUGAACCCUAACACUUAUUAUAUCAUUUUUUCACAGUUUCUUAAUAAAUUAUAAAAUUUUAAAUGAAACAGACUUAAAUAUACUUUUAUCUUAUAAUUUUGGGUUAAGUUUGUUUAAUCCUUUAAAUGUAAAAUCAAUUGUUUAAUAUUUGUGAUUUGAAAACAAUUGGGUCUCUGUGUCCAAACGUCUCGUACUAAAUAUUAUUAAAAUAAGUACUUUAAAAAAUAAACAUGUAAUUUGGUAUUUGAUUCUAGGAAUCUAAAAUUAAUUAUCAUAUAAAUUUUAACCCAUAAAAUUUUAAUCAUAAGUGAAAUUUUAACCGCAUUCAAUAUUAAUAAAAGAGUCUAAUUUUAAAUUUGAGAAAUUAAAAGUAAUUUUAUUCAUGAAUAAAAACCUAUUAACCCAUACAAAGAUGCAUAAAUAUAAUGUCUUCAAAUGUAUUUCUUUUUUUAAAUAGAAAUUGAGUUAUUCUUUUCUAUUUAACCCACUUACUCAUAUAUAUUUUACUGAUUAUUUUAUUUAGAUUUAGAUAAUAAUAAUUAUAACUACCAAAAGACUUUCCAAGGAAGCAAUUGGGACAAUUUUAUUUUUGUGAGUGUUGCUUUCACCCUUACAUGGGAAAUGACAACACGUUUGUGCUGAGUGCCAAUAUUGCGCACUCGUGUAUCACAAUUUAACUUUUAAUUAAAUAUAAUUGGUGGCACUUAGUAGUAUUUAAUUGUAAUAUUUCCAUUUCAAAAUACAUAGUUUUUUUAUUAUAUAUAAAAAUAAAUAAAAAUGACUGGUACUCUAAUGUUGAAUUUCUAUUAUAUGUCUUAAAAUUAAUUGCUUUCUCUUUCUUAAAGUAAUAUAUUUAUAAGAAAAUAAAUUUAAUUUUAAAAAGUAUUGUAUUUAUAUUUUAAAUUAUUGUUAACGUGUGUUAAAUAACAUUAAAAUAGAAUCAUUAUGAAAACGAAUAUAGUAUUUAAUAAUAAAUGUUUUUCUUUAACUUUUCUUGAAUUUUGAGUUAAAAUGCAUUAAUGGUCUUAAUUAAAUUAAAGAAUGAUCUAAUAAAAUAAAAUUAAUUAAGAUUUGUACUGUGGUCAACAAUACCAACACAGAAAAUAUAUUUAAAAAAGUAUUCUAAUGUUGAAAAAUUAUGUUUAAUAAAACAGUAAAUAUAUUUAUAAAAGUAUUAAAUAAAAUGUAUUUAAUGCCUUGAAAAUAUGAAACAUUCAAUAUUUACUAUACAAAAAAGUUAACGCUCGAAUUUGGAACCAUUGUUGGUGCAAUUGAGAAGAAGCUUCCAUUAAGGAAUGGUCACGCAACUUAGCAAAAGAAAAAUGUUGAAAAGUAUAAAUUCAAAAAGCAUUUACGAGGACCUAAGAAAAAAGUGUCCACCAACUCCUAUUCUCUUUGAGAAAACGUAAUUCGGAAGACUUCAUUUCGAUGUGCCAAAUGUCAAUUAAUUAAAAGAGAUUAUCGUCAUCUUUGCAAUAAGUGUUAACGUGUAAGGGACGCGCUUGCAUGAGUAGAAUUGCUUAAGCUAAUAUAACUAAAGAAAUUAAAUAGGACCAUUCAAGAAGAAUAUGACUAUCUAUUUAAAUUAAAACUAAAAUUUUACCUUCAAUCAUAAAAGUUUCGAUUAAGAAAUUAACAUUAUGACUUCAGUGUCUGAAAACGAUACUCUAAAUUUUAAAUAGAGUCCAGAUUAAAUGUAAAAUAAUAAUUAUUUGAUUUAAUAAACAAAAAUACCGAACAAUUACUUAAAUAAAUAACGCUUGGAAUUUGAUGUAAAAAUCUUUGUAUCCUUGUUCGAUUGCUAUAAAUACAUUUAAAUAUUAAUAGUAUGUAAUAUAAAUGUUCGAUUUUUCAAACCAAAUAUACAUAUUAAUUAUUAUGCAGUUAAAAUAGUGUAAAUUAUUCUAAAUUCAAAUCUUAUAAUAAACAAACUAAAAACAAUCUCUUCCUACCACCGUAACAACAGCAACGCAAAAUAAACCUAAUGUGUUAACUUAAAAUGGUAGGGCGAUUUCAACCGUAGAUUUCAAACAGUUAUAUUUAGUUACAAGACAUAAAGCUAUAAGAAUGGAAUGAACCAAACCUUCUUCAAGAAACUAGAUUUGAGGAAAGAAACUGCGUCGAAGACAUUUUUGUUUCAAGCUAAGUAAAAAAAACGUCAUCGCUACAAAAAAAUUAAGGUAAAUUCACAGCCAACUUCAUGAAUAAUUCGUACAAAACAUAAAAGCUAAAAACUCAGAAAAGAGCAGCACAAAUCUAAAUAUAAAAUAAAUUGAUUAUGUACUAGAAUCAAUGAUCACAACAACAACAGUAAUACUACUCAACUCAUACAAACAAUAUAGAUCCAGCAAUCAAUACAUAUAAUCUCUACAUAGGGACAUGAAUAGAGAGAAAGAGAGAAUUAUACACUAAUGCUACUCAAAUCUCCACUCCUACUAAAGUUCCACACAGGUAAACGAGAAAAUCCAUGAGCUAAGCUCAGAUCCGAAGAGAAGAACCGAAGGCAAGAGCAGCAACAGCGCCAACAACCCCGGCGACGAAGGACGGCGAAACAGCAACGGCGGGAGACGUCGGACUCGGUGCCGGAGCGUCGGCGGCGGAGAUAACGGCGACGAGUACCGACAUUACGGCGAUGAACAUUGCUUUAGAGAAAGCCAUUGGAUUUAUCACAAAUUUUCUGAUUUCUGUGUUUAGGGUUUGGGUUGCGUUGGGCGCAGUGAGAGUUCGUUUUGAGGAGAGGCGAAAAUGGUGGUUUAUAUAGAAGGAGGGAGGAGAGGUACGGGCAGUUCGGGUAGUUGCCCGAAGUACAGACUGGCAAUAGGUCCAUUGCCAGCUGGAUCUGCUUCUAUUCUGAAAAAUCAGGUUUCACAUGACUAUUUCACCACGACGCCGUUUCGCUCGCCUGAGGUUCCUUGUCCCAGUGGCUCGUGCUCUCACUUUCACGCACAACAUCUACA